This 1113-nucleotide long non-coding RNA is filed under the name Ananas comosus (pineapple). RNAcentral's name for it is "long non-coding RNA (ACOM_LNC006967)". The record is from RNAcentral. Lineage: Eukaryota; Viridiplantae; Streptophyta; Magnoliopsida; Poales; Bromeliaceae.
AUGAAUGCUAAAUACACAUGAGUUGGCAUGUAUGAAUAUGGGCAUAUGUUAAUGCUAGAUGACUUAUAAUGAUUCUCAUAUAAAUAUGAAUGCUAGGUGCACAUGGACAUGAAAGCUAGACAUAGUUAUGCUAGACGGAUAGUUAUGAAUGUGAAUACAUAUAAUUGUCGAUAUAUGAAUGUGAAAACUAGACGCAUAGUAUGCUAAAUUCAUAUAAUCAAAUAUAUGAUAUAUAAAUGUUGAACUUGUAAACGCCAAGGGCAUGUAAGUUGAAUGUGAAAUGUGAAAUGUGAAAUGUGACAUGUGAACAUAGAGGUUAAAGCAUAUGUAGUUAUCGACAUGUGAAAGCGAAUAGUUGAUGCCUAUAUCUAAACGUAUAUGAAAGUGAAUGUACUAUAGUUCGAGCUAUAUGAAAGUCGAUAAUUCCAGUUGAUUAGAGACCUCGAUAGUAACAAGACAAGCGAGAAUAUGUAAAUUAGAAUCCUAGGAAUGAACAACUAGGAUGAUACAUAGAUCGAGUGGUAUGACCUAGUGGUAGUAAACAUAGGUCGGACAUGAACCUAGUGUCAUUGGACAUAGGUCAAGUAAAUAAACCUAGAGUCGAGUUCUAGGUGAAAAUGAUAUAGAACCUAGCAAGUGAACCUAGGUUAUGAUGUAUAAUGAGACUUAGUACAUUUAAACUAAGUUGUGGAUUUUAGUGGUAUAGUGACCACUAGGAAAGGAUUAGUUUCGACCAGGAGGGUCGUCAACAUAGGGUAAAGUGAGUAAACCCUCAAGUUGUGAAAGUGAAUUCCGGAAUCCCAAGAUCUGUGAUGACCUUGGUAUCAAGGCUAGGGCGUGUGCGACGAUUUCGCCGCCGGAUGGUUAGCCAGUUUGUGGAUCCUACCGCCUGUUGACUGAACCACUGUCGUGGCGUGUGCGACGAUUUCGCCGCCGGGUGGCUAAGUCAUAGACCUAGGCUGUUGUUGGGUGAGGUGCGAUUUGUUCGCCGCCAGACAGCUAGGACAGGAGUACGGUGAGCUGUUGCCAGCUGAGGUGCAUGUGAGAGUUCCUUCACCUCGAGCUAGACAUUGCGCAGACUAUCCGCGAUUGAUUGACUCAAGACCGAGUCUG